GGAGGUGUGGCUCAAAUGGUAGAGCUCCUGCCUAGCAAGCAUGAGGUCCUGAGUUCAAACCUUAGUAUCAACA
Molecule: transfer RNA, 73 nt
Filed under: Dipodomys ordii (Ord's kangaroo rat)
Lineage: Eukaryota; Metazoa; Chordata; Mammalia; Rodentia; Heteromyidae
Rfam family: tRNA
About the family: Transfer RNA (tRNA) molecules are approximately 80 nucleotides in length. Their secondary structure includes four short double-helical elements and three loops (D, anti-codon, and T loops).
Source: Rfam by way of RNAcentral